Potamilus streckersoni is the source of this 78-nucleotide non-coding RNA. The record is from the annotation of a GenBank genome assembly. NCBI's taxonomy places the organism in Eukaryota, Metazoa, Mollusca, Bivalvia, Unionida, Unionidae.
GACUACUCCGGUGGCUUAGAGGUUAGAGCGUCUGCCCCGUAUGCGGGAGGUCGCAGGUUUGAGACCCCGGUCAAGUCA